Poecilia latipinna (sailfin molly) is the source of this 501-nucleotide long non-coding RNA. RefSeq lists it as uncharacterized. The record is from RefSeq and is a predicted model, not a curated record. The transcript is spliced from 2 exons. NCBI's taxonomy places the organism in Eukaryota, Metazoa, Chordata, Actinopteri, Cyprinodontiformes, Poeciliidae.
GACUAAACUUUUUUUAUAUUAAGAACUAAACUUGUGAUCCACUUGAUGAAUACAACUUAGUCAUUAUUCUGUACAAGGCAAUCAGCUUGUGUUUUUUUUUUUUGAGUAGAGAAAAUUAAAAUCAAAAAUCUGAAAGUCAAAUUUGACUUCAUUAAAAAAAUCUUCCGUCUUCUGUAAGUCAAUUUUUUUUCUUCUUCGAUUGACUAAACUUUUUUUUAUAUUGAUAACUAAACUUGUGAUCCACUUGAGAUGAAUACAACUUAGCCAUUAUUCUGUACAAGGCAAUCAGCUUUUUUUUUAGUAGAGAAAAUUAAUAUAAAAAAUCUGAAAGUCAAAUUUGACUUCAUUAAAAAAAAAUCUUCUGUCUUCUGUAAGUCAAAAUGUUUUCUUCUUCAAUUGACUAAACUUUUUUUUAUAUUGAGAACUAAACUUGCGAUCCACUUGAGAUGAAUACAACUAAGCCAUUAUUCUGUACUCUGGUCCUUUUUUUUUUUUUUUUUU